This 72-nucleotide transfer RNA is filed under the name Nematostella vectensis (starlet sea anemone). It matches the Rfam family "tRNA". Rfam says of the family: Transfer RNA (tRNA) molecules are approximately 80 nucleotides in length. Their secondary structure includes four short double-helical elements and three loops (D, anti-codon, and T loops). Lineage: Eukaryota; Metazoa; Cnidaria; Anthozoa; Actiniaria; Edwardsiidae. The record is from Rfam by way of RNAcentral.
GGGGAUGUAGCUCAGUGGUAGAGCGUCCGCUUCGCACGUGGAACGCCCGGGGUUCGAUUCCCCGCAUCUCCA